AAACUUUCAACAACGGAUCUCUUGGUUCUGGCAUCGAUGAAGAACGCAGCGAAAUGCGAUAAGUAAUGUGAAUUGCAGAAUUCAGUGAAUCAUCGAAUCUAUUGAACGCACUUGCGCCCUCUGGUAUUCCGGGGGGCAUGCCUGUUCGAGCGUCAUUA
Molecule: ribosomal RNA, 158 nt
Filed under: Cadophora cf. interclivum
Lineage: Eukaryota; Fungi; Ascomycota; Leotiomycetes; Helotiales; Ploettnerulaceae
Description: 5.8S ribosomal RNA
Rfam family: 5.8S ribosomal RNA
About the family: 5.8S ribosomal RNA (5.8S rRNA) is a component of the large subunit of the eukaryotic ribosome. It is transcribed by RNA polymerase I as part of the 45S precursor that also contains 18S and 28S rRNA.
Source: RNAcentral